CAAGAUGUUGACAGGGCUUUGUUCUUUUCUAGUGGCUGAUUGUUAGAAUAUGUGCUUGGCAGAAGUCAGUUCCUCGUGCUUAUAGGAGAAGGUCUGUUUCCUUGCUAGCUGUCAGCUAUGGGCUGUCUUAGCUAUUAAAGGCAACUCUCUGGUCCUUCGGUUGGCCCCCUAUGUCUCAAAACCAGCAUAGGUGCAUCAACUGUUUCUCGUGCUCAGAAUCUCUUGGACUUCCCCUUCUAUAACAUCUUUCCUGCCUUUUCUUCUACCACAUGUGACUCCAGCCUGAGAAAAUGAUCUGCCUUUAAGACUUACGUGAUUAGGUUGGGAUCACCCAGGAUUUUGAAAAAGCAAGCUGACAUAAAUCCUAUAAUCACAAGGAAAUGAGUUUUACCAACAACCAGAGAAAGCUUGGAAGCAGAUUCUUUCUACGUAGAGCCUCCAGAUGAGAACCAGCUAAGUCAUGCCUGGACUUCUGACCCACAGAAACUGAGGAUAAUAAAUGUUUUAAGCCACCAAGUUUGCGAUAAUUUGUUACAAAGCAUAGAAAGCUAACACAGAUGACUUGAAUUCUAAAUUCCAUGUAAAAUUUUAUAACUUUUCUCUUUAUGUAUUCAGAUAAACAAUAUUCCUUACACACAUUUGAAAACAUAUCAAUAUAAGACAGCUAAAUAUUUUUUAAAGUUACAACGUAAUACAAAUAGAAGAUAUAUAAGAAAGCAAAAUCAAAUUAUGUUUUCCUUUCAGAAUUAUAAAACCCCCACCUAGCAAUGCUAGGCUCCUGACAUAAAUUACUGAAAAAUAGUCAGUAAUGAAUUUUAAAGCCAAAACAGAAAGUCUUAGUCCCUUUCUACCAAAAAGGUAUUUAACACAUCUUAAAACAAAAAUCGAGUAACCCGGGGAGGAUAAAAUAAAUUUGUGUCACACCAAAGGAAGAUGUAAAAAUUGUUUGGUUUGCAGAAAAAUCAUUCAAAAUCAUUUCAAUCCUUGGCUCAUAAAUAAUGCAAACUUAAUGAGAUAUUCUAUCCUAACAUGUAUAGAUGAAGUUCUUAAUUAUUUCAAAGGGGAUUGUGCCUACAUACCUGAAAUUUAAACUUUCCCUGUAGAAAACAAUAAAAACAUACACUUCUUUAUAGAUAUAUUUAGAAUGUGUUAUCCCCAACUAAUAUUUUCUAAACUACACACAUACUUAAACACUGAAUUUAAGAUAUAAACUGAGAUCCUUACCAAUUUUGAAUGGAGUUUAAUCACAUCAACCCACAUAAAAGUCUCACAUGAACACAUAUUUUUAUGUGACAUAUUUUUCUUCAAAUAAAUAUUGCUUCUCAGACUUUUUAGCAACUGUGGCAAAAACACUCAUUGUGAAUUUAUUUUUCUUACAGCUUGUAUAUGUUUUCUUUAUCUUGAAUUGUCUGCCCAAGUAGAUGAGAGAUUUGAAAAAUUCUGUCGACAGUGGUAACAGAGUCAGAGGUCAAAAGUUUCCAAGCAUGAACUAAACCUAAACAGCAAGAAAAAUAUCAAAAUGUAUGCAAAAAUACACAGAAAGGUUAUUGAUCUUCUAAAAUCAUACCAGAUUUUAGAAGAAAUACCAGAAAAUAGCCUUAAGGAAAUAAACCUUGUGUUUGUCUAAUAAAACCCAUCAAGAAGUAUGUAAUAAUUACAUCAACCCUCUUGAAAUUUUUUUAAAAAGGCCAAGUCUAUAGAAUGAAUAGUAUCAGGCCAAGAAAAAAAAUUCAGGCCCUGUUUCCAAGGACAAUAAUAGUGGAACAGACAGAUAGUGGCCAGUCUAGCCUGGGGAAUGCAAACCAACCAAGUAAAAAAUUUGACAACUCAGUUUUUUAUAAAAUUAAACCAAUGCUGUGUAUAAAAGUAUCCAGAAUGAAAUGAAGAACUGACUCAUAUUUUGAUAAUUAAUGCUCAAAAAUGUGAAAUUUUCUGUUCCAUUAUUUAGGUAUUUUAAGAAAAAUUUACUUUAAAUUUUUGCUUUAUGUGACUAUAAUAGCUAUAUUUCAUGUAUUAGCAUUUAUACAUACAAAGGCUGUAGAGUUUUACCAGACUUUAUUCGAGGGUCCAGAGUACUUAAAGAGAACAAUACAGGAAUAGAAAUAGCAUAAACUAUAUACUUCAAAUAAUUUCACAGGGCUGUGUAAGCAUUUUAAGGAAUUGAGGCUUUAUCCUAAGCCUAAGGGAAAGCCAUCCAUAUAACCAAAUUUCUGUUUGGAAAAAUGUGCUCUGGUUGUAGUACAGAGAAUUAGUUGUCAGAACAAAGGUGAGAUGGUGGUGAUAUAGAUGCCAAAGUAAGAAAAUAUGAAUGUGCUAUGCUAUUUCACUCUUCUGUCCUUCACCAACCUAUUUUCUCUGCUUCCUUUUCUCUUUGUUCAUAUUUUCAGUUCAAGUUUCACCCCUUCUAUGAAACAUUUCAUGAAGUAUCAGCCCAUUCUGUACAAUCAACCACUCCUGCCUCUGUGCCCAAACAGUAUAUGCUUUUAUCAUGGCCCAUGCCAUUGAAAUGCAUUUAGCUGUAUAUGUAUAUUCGUCCUUGUACAAAUCAAUAAAUAAAUUCUUAAUGAAAUUUAUUUUCUGUCUCCAGCAUCUAAACAAUGUUUUGCCUUGUGCUAAUCAAAAAAGUUCUGGUUGACAUUUGAAAUGGUUAUUUUGAUAAUCUCUUUCUGUACCUUCCCUAAAGAUUACUCUUAAGACAUUCUGAAAAUAUCCAUUUUGGCAAAGUUGUAUGAGUUAUUCAAGAUUACUGUAAUUUAAGUUGCUAACAAAAUGGAUCCUAUCUAUUUGUUCACCCUUUAUUUCCCUGUCCUAUAUCAAUUUCUGCCAUCUAGUAGGUAUUAAAUAUAUUUUAUAAAUGUUUAAAAAUUAUUCAUAUUAAACUAAAAUAUCAGCUUUUCC
Molecule: long non-coding RNA, 2898 nt
Filed under: Homo sapiens (human)
Lineage: Eukaryota; Metazoa; Chordata; Mammalia; Primates; Hominidae
Description: HSALNT0192225
Source: RNAcentral